AAACUGCCUCAUUGGGCUAAGAUUACUCUCGGGGACCGGUCUCUGGAGGUGAGAGACCGGUUCCCCUGGCUGGGUGUAGCGGGGUUGCGUGAUGCAACCGGUCCCUGGCAGGGAGGGACCGGUUCCCGAACGUGGUCCCAGCGAGAAUUGCCAAAAAUUGGCUAAGUCCUGAAAAUCGAGCUCUCGGGGACCGGUCUCUCAGGCGAAGACCGGUCUCCCGAGGACCGGUUUCCCGGGGAGAGACCGGUUCCCGAACGCGUGCGCCCGAGAGAAGCUCUCGGGGACCGGUCCCAAGUCGGGGAGACCGGUCGCUCCGCGCGAAAACUGCCCAGUGAGGGCAGUGCACAGGAGUGAAAGUUGAGGGGCUUUUAUGCAAAAUGGCCUUUAUUUGAGUGGGCUGAGCCCUCUCUCUCCCUCACACUCUCUCAUUUCACUCUCUCUCACUCUCAUUUCUCUCUUGCUCUCUCUCUCUCUCUAGAAAGGAAAGAAGGAGAAGAAGAACAAGAAGGAGAGGAAGGAAAAGAAGAGGAAGAUAAGGAAGGAGAAGAAGAAGGAGAUCAAGAGGAAGGCUUUGAGCACCUCCAUCUCCCUCUCCUCUUCCCAUUGGUGUAGCUCUUGAGGUAAGCUACUAAACCCUAGCUUCUAGAACUUAGGGUUUUUGGGUUUUAUGCCUUGGAAUGGGUCAAAUGGACCCUAAGCAAGCUUCUAAAUAGAUCAAUCCCAAGAAUCUAG
RNAcentral lists this long non-coding RNA (732 nucleotides) under Ananas comosus (pineapple). RNAcentral describes it as "long non-coding RNA (ACOM_LNC038408)". The record is from RNAcentral. Lineage: Eukaryota; Viridiplantae; Streptophyta; Magnoliopsida; Poales; Bromeliaceae.